CCCGUCCACCGAUUGACUAAGGUUUCCAGAGGAAGGCUCGUCCGCUCUGGGUUAGUCGGGUCCUAAGCUGAGGCCGACAGGCGUAGGCGAUGGAUAACAGGUUGAUAUUCCUGUACCACCUAUAAUCGUUUUAAUCGAUGGGGGGACGCAGUAGGAUAGGCGAAGCGUGCGAUUGGAUUGCACGUCUAAGCAGUAAGGCUGAGUAUUAGGCAAAUCCGGUACUCGUUAAGGCUGAGCUGUGAUGGGGAGAAGACAUUGAGUCUUCGAGUCGUUGAUUUCACACUGCCGAGAAAAGCCUCUAGAUAGAAAAUAGGUGCCCGUACCGCAAACCGACACAGGUAGUCAAGAUGAGAAUUCUAAGGUGAGCGAGCGAACUCUCGUUAAGGAAC
RNAcentral lists this ribosomal RNA (389 nucleotides) under Staphylococcus aureus. RNAcentral's name for it is "partial 23S ribosomal RNA". It matches the Rfam family "Bacterial large subunit ribosomal RNA", at positions 1329 to 1713 of the family's 2925-position model. The record is from RNAcentral. Lineage: Bacteria; Bacillati; Bacillota; Bacilli; Caryophanales; Staphylococcaceae.